This 82-nucleotide transfer RNA is filed under the name Hungatella hathewayi. RNAcentral describes it as "tRNA-Leu". It matches the Rfam family "tRNA". From Rfam's summary of the family: Transfer RNA (tRNA) molecules are approximately 80 nucleotides in length. Their secondary structure includes four short double-helical elements and three loops (D, anti-codon, and T loops). Lineage: Bacteria; Bacillati; Bacillota; Clostridia; Lachnospirales; Lachnospiraceae. The record is from RNAcentral.
GCUGACAUGGCGAAAUUGGGAUACGCGGCAGGCUCAAACCCUGCUGGAGAGAUCCAUGCCGGUUCGAAUCCGGCUGUCAGUA